UUAGGUACGCCACUGAUAAUUAAAAUCUUCAUCCAAAUCUGUUGAAACUUACCUCAACAUAAAGAAAAUGUGUCACACAUUACGAUGAUGCAUUGAUUAAGACAUAUGAUGAAGAAUAACUCAAGUUAUGAUUUUUUGAAAAAAUUAUUUCUAAGUAUUGUCCAUUCCGAACGAAUUGUCGACCGUCGAGUAUCACUUGCCACCGCGCAUGCGCAUUCGGGGAUCGCCAAUUCGGGGCGGAGAUUUUACAUCGCGCACAAGCGCUUCUCGCGGCAUGGUGACGAAGCGUAAGAGCGCAUCAUUUGUGAAUGAGAUUGGUCAUUUUCGCGGCGCUCAUAAAUAUGCAUGUGCGUUCACGAUACGCAUAUUUGUUGUUUUGCAAGGAUUGAGCGCCGGGUUUGUUGUUUUGCUGAUCAGCUGGAGCAGACAGCUGAUGAUCGCUGGCAUUGCAAAACAACCUGGCACAGUGUGCAUGACGAUUGAUUUGAGACUUGAAGUUAAUUUCACAUGUUUUAACUAGAUUAUCUGAAUUACAGUGCACAAUUACGACAUGGAAAACCAUUGGGAUGGAUAUCAAAUAUGGCUAAAUUUGAUUGCUCUUCUGCAUCCAAUGGCACCAACAACAGUAUUAUCAGAGAUGCAACAAACCUUCAUCUUUAUUGGACUCCUCCAUGUACAUUACAAAUAUAAAAAGCGGUAUCUUUCCCAAUAGUCUCAACGUUGCAUGCAGGUUGGGAAACAUGAUGGAAAUUUUUGUUGCCAGGAGGCUGUAUCAUUUGAUGAAAACAUCAGUUUAGAUUCAACCUUACCCACAGAAAUUUUAGGGGCCCUAUGAAGCAUUGCAUCCGCUCUGCCAAACUGCCUCUCACCCGAGAUAUUUGUAGAACUACUCAGGACUGCUAUUAUUGGCCAUGGUGUUAUAAAAAGCCAACAAUUUAGUUAAUAAUUUUCCUGUAAUGAACAUAUAAAUGUAGUUGGACAGUACACGUAUACCAAAAUCACUUGUACAGAAAGUAUCAUUCGUCUCCCAGCUAAAGUUGUGAUGAACUAGCACUUAAUAGAUUUCUUAUAUUCAUAACAUUCAUCAUUCCAGUUCUUAAUUGAUAUUUCAAAAGUUUAAUAUAUCACUUUACAUGCAUCAUAUUGAGCUGUACACUGAAUCUUGCUUCAUGUCAUUUGGGUUCAUCUCUACAUAAUAACCCCCCCCCCCCAGCAAUAGAAAAAUGAAAAUCUAAUA
Molecule: long non-coding RNA, 1237 nt
Organism: Lytechinus variegatus (green sea urchin)
Lineage: Eukaryota; Metazoa; Echinodermata; Echinoidea; Temnopleuroida; Toxopneustidae
Exons: 3
Source: RefSeq, a predicted model, not a curated record